AUUCAGCUAACGAGUCCCAAAUGGGAUGAAACGCGUGUUCUGUAU
This 45-nucleotide non-coding RNA is filed under the name Schistosoma margrebowiei. The record is from RNAcentral. Lineage: Eukaryota; Metazoa; Platyhelminthes; Trematoda; Strigeidida; Schistosomatidae.